GCCCCCCAGUCCCCCACCUGUACUGGACGCGGACGCGCGGCUCCAUGGUGGCCCCGUACUGCAGGGCGGAGACGCGGGGACAGCCCAGGGCAUAGCGGGCCUGGGACAGGGACAGCCAGCCCUGGGGGGACAUUUUGGGGACAUUUGGGGCGUUUUGGGGACAUUUCGGGGAUGUUUGGGGUCAGUGGGGGCAUUUGGGGGACAUUGGGGGCAUUUUGGGGACAUUGGGAGACACUGGGGUCAUUGGGGACAUUGGGGGCAUUUUGGGGAUGUUUGGGAACAUUGGGGACAUUUCGGUGAUGUUUGGGGACAUUGGGGUCAAUGGGGACAUUUUGGGGACAUUUGGGGGCACUGGGGUCAAUGGGGACAUUUUGGGGAUGUUUGGGGACAUUGGGGUCAAUGGGGACAUUUCGGGGACAUUGGGGUCAAUGGGGGCAUUUUGGGGACAUUGGGGUCAAUGGGGACAUUUUGAGGGCAUUGGGGUCAAUGGGGACAUCUCGGGGAUGUUUGGGGACAUUGGGGGCAUUUUGGGGAUGUUUGGGGACAUUUGGGGAACAUUGGGGUCAAUGGGGACGUUUGGAGGGCAUUGGGGACAUUUCAGAGAUGUUUGGGGACUUUGGGGGGACAUUUGGGACGUUUUGGGGACAUUGGGGUCAAUGGGGGCAUUUUGGGGAUGUUUGGGGACAUGGGGGGCAAUGAGGACAUUUUGGGGACAUUUCAGUGAUGUUUGGGGACACUGGGGUCAACGGGGACAUUUCGGGGAUGUUUGGGGACAUUUAGGAGACACUGGGGAAUGUCUGGGGACAUUUUGGGGACACGUGGGUCAAUGGGGACAUUUUGGGGCGUUUUGGGGACAUUUUGGGGCAUUUUGGUGCAUUUUGGGGACUUUUGGGGUAUUUUGGGGACAUUUCGGGCCAUUGUGGGGUCAUUUCGGGGUGUUUUGGGGACAUUUCAGGCCAUUUUGGGGACAUUUUGGGGCGUUUAGGGGACAUUUUGUGUCAUUUUGAGGACAUUUUGUGUCAUUUUGGGGCCAUUUUGGGGCAUUUGGGGCAUUUUGGGGACUUUUGGGGCCAUUUUGUGCCAUUUUGGGGACUUUUGGGGCCAUUUUGGGGACAUUUUGUGCCAUUUUGGAGACAUUUCGGGCCAUUUUGGGGCGUUUUGGUGACUUUGGGGGCCAUUUUGGGGCGUUUUGGGGCCAUUUUGGGGAUGUUUUGGGGACUUUUGGGGCGUUUUGGGGACUUUUGGGGACAUUCUGGGGCGGAUUGGGGACAUUUUGAGGUGUUCUGGGAUAUUUUGGGACAUUUUGGGGACAUUUUGAGGCGUUUUGGGACAUUUUGGAGUCAUUUGGGGGUCAUUUUGGGGUGGGCAUUGAAGGGACAUUGGAGGCAUGGGGCAUUUUGGGGUGUUUUGGGGACAUUUUGUGUCAUUUUGGGGCCAUUUUGGGGCAUUUUGGGGACUUUUGGGGCCAUUUUGGGACAUUUUGGGGCAUUUUGGGGACAUUUUGUGGCAUUUCAGGCUAUUUUGGGGCGUUUUGGGGCAUUUUGGGGACAUUUCAGGUGAUUUUGGGGUCAUUUUGGGGUCAUUUGGGGCCACUUUGGGGUGAUUUUGGGUCAUUUUGGGGCGUUUUGGGGACUUUUGGGGUAUUUUGGGCCAUUUUGGGGCCAUUUGGGGCCACUUUGGGGUGAUUUUGGGUCAUUUUGGGGCGUUUUGGGGACUUUUGGGGUAUUUUGGGCCAUUUUGGGGCCAUUUGGGGCCACUUUGGGGUGAUUUUGGGUCAUUUUGGGGUGUUUUGGGGCGGGUCACCUCUCGCAGGGCCAGGUGCAGGCGCUCCCGGUGCCGGUGCAGGGCCUCCAGCGCCUCCAGCAGCUCCAGCAGCGCCGCGUCCAGCGCCGCGCCCGGCGACAUGGCGACCCUACAAAAACACGGGCAUGUAAACAAACAUGGAGACCCUACCAAAAUAAAGGAAUGUAAACACAGGGACCCUACCA
RNAcentral lists this long non-coding RNA (1988 nucleotides) under Anas platyrhynchos platyrhynchos (common mallard). RNAcentral's name for it is "lncRNA (ENSAPLG00000026676.1)". Lineage: Eukaryota; Metazoa; Chordata; Aves; Anseriformes; Anatidae. The record is from RNAcentral.